UACAGAGGCCUCGAGCGUUAGGCGGAAUCACUGGGCUUAAAGCGUGUGUAGGCGGACUUCUAAGUACCUUGUGAAAUCCCACAGCUUAACUGUGGAACUGCUUGGUAUACUGGUUGUCUUGAGUCAUCUAGGGGCGAGCGGAACAAGUGGUGGAGCGGUGAAAUGCGUUGAUAUCGGAAGGAACGCCGGUGGCGAAAGCGCACGACUGGUCCUCUUCUGACGCUGAGGCGCGAAAGCCAGGGGAGCAAACGGG
RNAcentral lists this ribosomal RNA (253 nucleotides) under uncultured bacterium. RNAcentral's name for it is "partial 16S ribosomal RNA". It matches the Rfam family "Bacterial small subunit ribosomal RNA", at positions 524 to 776 of the family's 1533-position model. The record is from RNAcentral.